RNAcentral lists this unclassified non-coding RNA (99 nucleotides) under synthetic construct. RNAcentral describes it as "RNA (99-MER) from synthetic construct (PDB 2GTT, chain X)". The record is from RNAcentral.
CCACCAACCCCACACACCCCCCCACCCCCACCCACCACACAAAACCCCCAAAACCCCCCCAACCCCCAAACCCCACCAACCCCACCAACCCCACAAACC